UACGAAGGGUGCAAGCGUUACUCGGAAUUACUGGGCGUAAAGCGUGCGUAGGUGGUUUGUUAAGUCUGUUGUGAAAGCCCCGGGCUCAACCUGGGAAUGGCAAUGGAUACUGGCAGGCUAGAGUGCGGUAGAGGGUAGUGGAAUUCCCGGUGUAGCGGUGAAAUGCGUAGAGAUCGGGAGGAACACCAGUGGCGAAGGCGGCUAUCUGGACGGUUUCUGACACUAAGACUCGAAAGCGUGGGGAGCAAACAGG
RNAcentral lists this ribosomal RNA (253 nucleotides) under uncultured bacterium. RNAcentral's name for it is "partial 16S ribosomal RNA". It matches the Rfam family "Bacterial small subunit ribosomal RNA", at positions 524 to 776 of the family's 1533-position model. The record is from RNAcentral.